UGGCAGAUUGCGGGGAUAGUUGGGGUCUUGUGCUCCUGUGUUCCUCUCAGCUGCGGUUGGAUCUGUUGCGGCACACAGGCCACACCAAUCACACUGCCAUCACGAAUGCCAUCAAUACUGAUGAGCCUGUUUGUCACCGAGACACCGAGAAGGACGGAGAAAAGCGGAGUGGCGGAGGUGAACACAACCUGCACCCGCUGCCACGUCUGACAUCUCAUACAUCACGCAGGGAAUUACAGGUGAAUGAGUGAACCCUGCAGCCAUACAGCUACCGGAGUUGCUCGUGACUCCUCACACCCACCCCCAGUACUCUUUAGCCUCAUGCCAUCUGGACAGAAGGUACUGGGGUAUGUGGGCUGUUACUGCCAGACUAGACUAGGGAACUGCUCUCUCCCUGAGCCAGCCAGGUACAGCAAGAGCCAUCUACCCAUGUAAACAUCCACCACCACCUGAUAUUACAACGUCAUCGUAUUGGCUAGUGGUUGUCAAGUGGCGGAUCACCAAUGCAGACGCAAUACAUUUCAGUUGAUCGAACCGAGCGGUCGUACCUCAGUGACUCCUGUUCUUUCAAACACAAACCAUCAAAGAUUUGCAAGUGGCACAACAGACAAAAACAUCGUGUUGCGUUCUCUAUCGGCGGGAGAUUGAGAGUUUAUAACAAUGUCACAGACAUUGAGCAAAAGUUGCCUCGCUGUCUGGGUGGGAGGGAUGACAUACUCUCUCUUCCGGGUCAAUUAGAGUGACAUUAGCCAAUCACGGGCAUCUGUGAGCUCGAGUAUGUGGAAGAAGGUAGAUAGUAGCUUCUUCUGAUUGUGUUAAACUGCUUUGGGAUACAACAUAAACAACAGUUUGAACAAAAGAUGUGGUUGGUUGGCUUCAUGUGUCUCAGACAAAGAAUCGUUAUCCUGGUAGGUGUUGUCAUGAUGGGGAGAGCCAGACGGUGGGUGGGAAUUGGCAGGUAAGCAAAUUGUGAAGAAAUGGGGAAAACAGACCCAUGAACCCUUGAAAUAUUCUGUAGUAAUAACGAGUCUUUAUUGGUCACGUAUACAUUACAGCACAGUGAAAUUCUAUUCUUCGCAUACCCCAGUUGGGGUCCAAGUGCAGGGUCAGCCAUGAUACAGCGCCCCCUGGAGCCGACAGGGUUAAGGGCCUUGCUCAAGGGCCCAACAGUGGCAGCUUGGCAACGCUGGGGCUUGAACCCCCGACCUUCUGAUCAGUAACCCAGAGCCUUAACUAAGCCACCACUGAACCUCGGUGAAAUGACAACAUGGCUUGUUGAAAAAGAAUACUGAUGGACAGAGAAGUGUUGCAUAUUCAGUUCAAAACAGGUCUCAUCAAAAAUGGAGUCCACGGCUCUAAUCAAAAGUGAACCAUAACAUACCACAAUACCGGUUCAUUUUCUCAUUGUUUUCAUGUAUGAGAAGCAAGGACAAUGAAACUCUACUUGCCAUCAUCCCCAACGCCAGUUUCUGCUCGGCCUUCUUUUAACAGUAAUCUAACAAGGUCUAUUACUCCCUUAAUCUGUUCUAUUAACACAGACAGCUACCUAAAACGGUUCUGUCAGAACAACAGCCACUGAGGUUUGAAGAGCAAAUCAAGAUCAGCCAAUGGGCAUUGGAAGGAGUCAUUCAUCUGCACCAGGCAAGCGAAUGAGCACAGAGAAGGAUAGUGGCAAUAAGUCAAUGAAAAGGUUAAAAGUGGGAAUUCUAGCAUGUUUGUCUUGCACCUCCGUGGUUAGGGGUUCGAUUCCCGCCUCUGCCCUGCUCGCACGUUGUUUGCAUGUUCUCAAUCUGCUUUGGGAGUUUCGUCCGGGUACUCUGGUUUCCUCCCCCGGUCCAAAGACAUGCAGUUUGCGCUAACUGGCAUCUCUAAAUUCUCCGUAGUGUGUGAAUGGGUGUGUGUGUGCGAUUGUGCCCUGCGAUGGGUUGGCACUCUGUUCAGGGUGUCCCCCGCCUUGUGGCCCGAGUCCCCUGGGAGAGGUUCCGGGCUCCCUGCGACCCUGUCUAGGGGAAGUGGUACGGAAAAUGGAUGGAUGGAUGGAUGGAUGGAUGGAUGUGGGAAUUCCAUAACAACCAGCAAUCCAAUCGCAAGGGCAUCGAUGGAUACCAAACCAAACAACCAACAAACACAGUCACAGAAACAUUAUUUACUAGUCACCAUCACCAACCAAUGUGAUGAGAGAAUUGUCUUUCGAGCGCACUCUGUGUCUCCCUGAACGUGAAUCAAGUAGAGCGCCUGGUCGCUGUCGCUGUCUACAUUCUGCUUUUACAUUGCGCUCCACUGAUCUCGCUGUGUUUGGGAGAGUUCGCUCAGGUCCUUCAGUUCUUUGUUCCCCCAAGGCCACCUUGUAGUGUACCUGUGCUCGCUAGAGGUGAUGGUCUACCUGGCCCUGCAGGGUCACGGCUACAAGGCUAGAGAAAUUCG
This is a long non-coding RNA of Ictalurus punctatus (channel catfish), 2424 nucleotides long. The record is from Ensembl. Lineage: Eukaryota; Metazoa; Chordata; Actinopteri; Siluriformes; Ictaluridae.